Molecule: long non-coding RNA, 1862 nt
Filed under: Lactuca sativa (garden lettuce)
Lineage: Eukaryota; Viridiplantae; Streptophyta; Magnoliopsida; Asterales; Asteraceae
Description: long non-coding RNA (LSAT_LNC008234)
Source: RNAcentral
GGAAAUAAAAGUUAGAGAGAGAAAGGAAGGAAGGGCAGCUGUUCUGAUCAGAAGAGCAAUCCAAAUCCAAUGGGCGAAUCGACGACACUCCUUCACUUCCCCACUGUUUUUUUUUGCAACUUGAGUUGGUGUGACUCAUAAAUUUCAACUUUGGAUCUUCAGUUUUUUUUUUACUCUGUGUGAAUGGAAUCUAAAAGAUGAGAGAGAGAGAGAGAGAGAGAAAUUUUGGAAGCCACCCUUUCUUCUUUAAGAGAAACAUCAUGGCGAUUUCUGAUUGGUGGAAUUGGGUUUUCUCUAUCAGAAAGUAGCCAAUGCCUUGUCCAAUUUGAUGCUUAUCUAAACAAUCAGUGGACUCCUUAGCAUUUAGCAGGCCUCUCUCUCUCUCUCUCUCUCUCUCUCUCUCUCUCUCUCUCAGAAUCUGUUUUAUUAUUGAUUAUGAUAUGAUGAGUUAUAUGUUGUAUUGUUUGAAUCAUUUUAGAUUCUGGUUAUAUGGGUUUCGUAUCUCGAUUUCUGUCCAGUUUAUCAUGCUCACAUGUGUAUAUGAUCUUAUAACAUUAAGUUGUUUUUCUUUUACUCUCUAUGCAUUAUUCAGCUGCCAUUCUAGAAAAUAAUUCAUUCUAGUACAAAAAAAUAUGUGUUUCAUUUGGAAUAUAGUCCCAUACCUCUUAGAUUCCUCAAUUUUUUAAAAUAAAUUUUAAAUAUGUGUAUGUAUCAUAUGAUUGCAGCCUCCAUUUCAGUGCACACCAACUGUUUAUGUUUAUGAUUUUAAAUUUCACUGGAUCUAAUACGUUAAUUCUACUACAAGUAAAGCACAUCAAGAAAAUCAUUUUUGUUGAUCUUCAAAAUAUAAACCAAAAUUAUAUCGUGUAUGUUAGUCUCAACUCGUAAACCUUAAUCAACAAUCUAUGCUACAGUUUAAUUAUAUGGUUCAUCAUAACUUUUGAUGUGAAAACUCAGUAGAAUAUGAUGGCUGUUUUUACCAUUGUUAACAGACAGAAGACUGCUAAAGUUGUAGGAAGCCAUGCAUCUUCCAUACUCGGAUUUAACAGUUUUUGAAUAAUUAUUGUGAGAAAUAACAUCAAUGAAUAGUAAACCUGAAGGAAAUGAGUAAAAUAGUAUGGUGAAAUUCUGAUUCUAUCAGGCUAGUGGUGUUAUCUUUCCUCAGAAAAAGGUCCAGGUGCUCUGUUUUUGCACUACACAUUAAUGUUAUUGGUCAAUUUUCAAUAAUUGAUUUUAUCCAUUUCCUAUUUUUAUGCAUAUACAUCUACAUCUACAUAUAUAUAUAAUCACAUAUGUAAAUAUAUAAAUAUACUAUGCAUGCACAUGCACAUGCACAUGCAUACAAUACAUACACAUACAGAAAGAAGCUUACCUUACAACAAGAAACGAAAUUCUCCCAUCAAUUCCCAUUGCCUACUUCUGAAUGUUUUUGAGGUUGGUCCCAUUACACAAGCUUGCAGACAAAGAAAUAUUAUUAUUAUUAUUACCCUUUUAAACAACUUAAUGACCAAAAUGCCCUGUCACCCAAAGUAGUAUUAUUUGGCCUAGAUUCACUUAAACGAAUGCAUAUCAUAUUAUCACAUCUUCUAAUACCAUGAAAGAUAUGAAUGUGAACAAUUCUUCUUUAAAUUUAUACUAGAUUUUUUUUUGUUAUUAUGCCUAUUAUUGAUAGUACAUGUAUAACUAAAAUAUGCUUUUAUUUUGCUUAUAUAAGCUGCAUCUUUUAGUUUAUUUGCUAGAAUUCCUUUCGAAUGUACAAUUAAAUAAUCAUUUUUUGCUGAUGCCCUUUAUUUUUGGUAUUGUUUUCUGGCAUGAGUAUCCUAAGGGAUAGGAUUUUAAAAAGUUGAUGAAUGAUGAGGGGU